AGCACACUCUCUAAUCGAGCUGUAACACUCGCCACUGCCGUCCACGGCUUCAUUCCUUGAAGCCGUGAGACCACGAACCCUUCGAUUGAGAAGAACCUUCGGUCGGAAGAAGACUUCUCGUCUCAGUAACAAUAACAAGAAAAACAGCCUAGACUAGACGCACAUCAGGAAGACAGACGUGACUUGCUCCUCCUUGCCUUCUGCCAUGAUUGUGAGGCUUCCCCAGCCAUGUGGAAAUGAACAACUAUGACCUAGGACCAGGGCCUUCAGGAAUCUUCACCCCUAACUUGAACUUCAUAACACUGGAGAGAGAGACUGUGGAAUGGAAUGACUCUCCAGAGCUGCAGAUUGAAGGCAUAUUUUCAUCUGACUUUGAUCUCAAUGGCGGGAACACCUUCAUGGCCCCUUUAUAGCUGGUAUGUUUUCUUCUUAUGGACAAUGAGAAACAUGUAAUAAACUGUGUUUCCUUCUCGCUAGGAAACCCU
This 485-nucleotide long non-coding RNA is filed under the name Homo sapiens (human). RNAcentral's name for it is "long intergenic non-protein coding RNA 944". The record is from RNAcentral. Lineage: Eukaryota; Metazoa; Chordata; Mammalia; Primates; Hominidae.